UCUUUAAUCUCAUGUCAAAACCCUCUUUUAGUUAUGUCUCCUUACCAAUAGUUAAAGAAACUCUAGUCUAACACUAGAGGGAAUCAACUAACUAAAAGAGAUUAAGAAGUAAUAAGAAUUACAAACCGAUUUGCACAAAUUCCUACAAAUUACACAUACUAAGAGGGAGAGAUAGAUUAAUGACCAACGUGACAAGGUCCAAUUGAAACAGUAAUUAAAACACAUUCCCAAGGUUCAAACAAUUUGAAUUUAGCGCCUUAUCUCAUAGCUCAAUUAUCGUUUAAGGCAUAAGUCCAUAGUCACCCAUUUUUCUAACUACUUAAUCACAUUAAAUAAUCAUAUGGAAUGCAACAUAAACAUUUAGAUUUAGUGCAUAUGGGCAUAAUAGUAUUAUGAGUUUAAACAAUUAACAAAAUUAAAAUCAAAUAUUUUAACUUUCUAGUUAGAUGGGGCCUAUAAUGCAAAUAUGAAAAGUUAAGGGUCAAAACCGUAAAUACUCAAAAGUAAAAAAUAUACUUUUCCAAGUUACAAAAUAGCCCCACAAGUGGAUAAAUCCACUAGGGGAGGCCGGCCACAUUGAGGUGAGAUGGGAAGUUUCACCCAUAAUGCAUUAAACCAUGUUAAAGUAGAAAAAAUUAAAUUUUGCUUGUCACUUGGUUUUGGCUUUAAAGACUUAGGUGAAAAGGGGUGAUGGAAAUCUCCUAGUCAAGUCUAGGAUUUAAUAAGUUUUUGAUAUGGCUAUGGAUGGUAUGAACAUCAUCCAAAACCACAAAACAAUGCAUGAAAACAAAAUAAAACCAUUUUCACCAAAAACCAAACCAUGAACACCAAGAACAAAACCAUGAACAUAUUUUCAAGAUUUGUAUAUUCUUGGUGAUUUUUCAAACCCAAAAACAAAAGUGACAAGAUUUCUACUUUCUAGCUUUAAAGUGUGAGUGUGUGAUUCAAAAAUAAAAACACAAACACUUAGCCAAAAUUCCCAUUUUUGCCGUGCCCUCCCUAAGAGUCAAAACCCCAAAAUUUGUUCUAAACUCAUUCUUCAUUCAUGCAUACAAAACACCUUUUGCAUACAUAUCUUUCUCAACUAUUGAUUCACAUUUUUCAACUAUUGAAAAACAAAAGAUAAACAUAUUUUGAAUGAAGCAAUAACAUGUCAUACAUAAUAUUAAAACCCAUAUGCAUAAAAUCCAAAAGGACACAUCAUAUAUAAACCUUUGGCUCUGAUACCACUUGAAGGGAAAUCUAUGAGAUUCAUGUGGGAUUUCUAAUGACUAGCAUGCAUAUACAAUUCAAAAUUUAUAUACUUAAGCAACGGAAGCAUGUUAUCAAUAAUAUCAAAACUAUAGUCAUGCAAAUCCCCUUCAAGGUUCAUAGGUUUAUAUAAGAUGCAUCAAAACAUUUAAGUGAAGAACAAAGUGUAGGAGUAGAUGUAUACCUCUUGAUCUAGAUUUUAGACCAAGGAUGGACCACCUCCAAGCCCUUUGUUCCUUGAACUCCUUGAGCCUAGCCUCCCUCCUUGCUUCCUCCACUUUGCUAGAAAUGAGUGCUCCUUAGUUCUCCUUUAGUCUCCAAAGAAGAAGACCUCUAAAGAUCCACACCCACUAGUGUAGUGAGAUGGAUGGAGGAAUAACCAAAAUGGUGAAAAGAUGAUUAGCUAAAAUCACCCUUAAGGUGGCCGGCCUUUGGUGUUGAAGAGAGAGUAAUUUUCUUUAUCUCUUUAGUUGUUUUGAACACCCAAAAACCCUCAUCAAAAAUAUCUCUAUAAAGUUCCUUUUAUAGACUAAAGAAACAAGUCAACAUUUGACCUUUCUCUCCCUCUCUUUGGCCGGCCUCUUUGUGUUGGUUUGGGCUUUGGGCUUUUAUUUAUUUCAAGUCAUCCAAUGCUUGAAUAAAAGCCCAAUGGGUUU
This 1907-nucleotide long non-coding RNA is filed under the name Malus domestica (apple). Its description in RNAcentral is "long non-coding RNA (MDOM_LNC009169)". The record is from RNAcentral. Lineage: Eukaryota; Viridiplantae; Streptophyta; Magnoliopsida; Rosales; Rosaceae.